CGAAAACAAAGUCAUGCUUUAUUGAUAACUCAAAUGCAACAGUUCCAACUUCAACAGUACUCUCUUAGAGAGUUACAAACUUACAAAUGCAACAGUUUUGCCAACUGCAGCAUUUCAGGUCCAGGCAUCAAGCGCUGGAGCUACUACUAUAGGACUUCUUACGGUGUGAUGACCGUUUUCUUCAACCCAAGUGAUUGAACCAGAUUGUGCUUGGUCAUCUGCAAUGCCUUUGUAACGUAUGGUAAGAGUGUAGUCCUGCUUCUGAUUUUUCUUCUCAAACACUAAGGUUUGUGGAGAGAUAGAAAUUGUUGAGUUUUUUGGGGCUAUCACUUUUGCUACAUACUUAGCUGCACUGGCUCCGACAUUUGUGACUGUCCGCCUGAAUUUCUUCUCCAACCAAGUGUAGUUCCCAAUUGGGUUAAAGAGAGCAAUAAAUGAUGGGUAAU
RNAcentral lists this unclassified non-coding RNA (446 nucleotides) under Hevea brasiliensis (rubber tree). Lineage: Eukaryota; Viridiplantae; Streptophyta; Magnoliopsida; Malpighiales; Euphorbiaceae. The record is from RNAcentral.